This 253-nucleotide ribosomal RNA is filed under the name uncultured bacterium. RNAcentral describes it as "partial 16S ribosomal RNA". It matches the Rfam family "Bacterial small subunit ribosomal RNA", at positions 524 to 776 of the family's 1533-position model. The record is from RNAcentral.
UACGAAGGGGGCUAGCGUUGCUCGGAUUUACUGGGCGUAAAGGGCGCGUAGGCGGAUAGUUAAGUUGGGGGUGAAAGCCCGGGGCUCAACCUCGGAAUUGCCUUCAAUACUGGCUGUCUUGAGUGUGAGAGAGGUGUGUGGAACUCCGAGUGUAGAGGUGAAAUUCGUAGAUAUUCGGAAGAACACCAGUGGCGAAGGCGACACACUGGCUCACUACUGACGCUGAGGCGCGAAAGCGUGGGGAGCAAACAGG